This 2364-nucleotide long non-coding RNA is filed under the name Betta splendens (Siamese fighting fish). RNAcentral's name for it is "lncRNA (ENSBSLG00000014203.1)". The record is from RNAcentral. Lineage: Eukaryota; Metazoa; Chordata; Actinopteri; Anabantiformes; Osphronemidae.
GACUCAGUAAGCGCUUCGCUGCCUGCACGUGAACAGGAACCUGGUCCGUGUUCAGCGCAGAGGCCAGAGAACACAGAGGAAACGCACAAUUCUGCUUCCACAUCCUUCAGAGACUCACCAAGUGUUGCAGCAGGUCCUGGUUCAGUACAAUGGUCUCACUCUCCACAGCGGGACAGACGUGCUGCUGCAGACACAUCUGGUACCGGGUCAGUCUGCAGGCGGCCGCAGACUCCUGCUCCCAACACACAGGCACAUGACACAUGGGCCGAGAACAGAACCGAGUUAGAAGCUGUUCAGACGGAGGAGGGAGGAGCUGGAUUGGGCCACUGCCCCGAGGAACCGAGCCGCUACGUGGUGGAGCUGGUGUUUGGCGUCUUGCUCAAGGACACACCUUCCGCUCCCCAGGCCGACGCUCUACCUACUGAGCUACCAGUUAGUAGAGUCAGUGGGAGGUUUACCUGUCUGAGGGGAACCGCUGCCUCUGUGCAGGGCCAGACCGGCAGCCCGCUGAAAGCGCUCUGUGGGACGAGACGGACGCAGUCAGGACGGGUAGAGUGGACGCAGCGGAGCUGUGUGUGUGUCUGUGUCUGUGUCUGUGUCUGUGUCUGUGUCUGUGUCUGUGUCUGUGUCUGUGUCUGUGUCUGUGUCUGUCUGUGUUUGUCUGUGUCUGUCUGUGUCUGUGUCUGUGUCUGUGUCUGUGUCUGUGUCUGUGUCUGUGUCUGUGUCUGUGUCUGUCUGUGUUUGUCUGUGUCUGUGUCUGUCUGUGUCUGUGUCUGUGUCUGUGUCUGUGUCUGUGUCUGUCUGUGUCUGUCUGUGUCUGUGUUUGUCUGUGUCUGUGUGUGUCUGUGUUUGUCUGUGUCUGUGUCUGUGUCUGUGUCUGUCUGUGUCUGUGUCUGUGUCUGUGUCUUUGUCUGUGUCUGUGUCUGUGUCUGUGUCUGUGUCUGUCUGUGUCUGUGUUUGUGUUUGUCUGUGUUUGUCUGUGUUUGUCUGUGUCUGUGUCUGUGUCUUUGUCUGUCUGUGUCUGUGUUUGUCUGUGUCUUUGUCUGUGUCUGUGUCUGUGUCUUUGUCUGUGUCUGUGUCUGUGUCUGUGUCUGUCUGUGUCUGUGUCUGUGUCUGCGUCUGUGUCUGUGUCUGUGUCUGUGUCUGUGUUUGUCUGUGUCUGUGUCUGUGUCUGUGUCUGUGUCUGUGUCUGUGUCUGUCUGUGUCUGUGUUUGUCUGUGUCUGUGUCUGUGUUUGUCUGUGUCUGUGUCUGUGUCUGUGUCUUUGUCCGUGUCCGUGUCCGUGUCCGUGUCUGUGUUUGUCUGUGUUUGUAUGUGUCUGUCUGUAUCUGUGUCUGUGUUUGUCUGUGUCUGUCUGUGUGUCUGUGUCUGUCUGUGUGUCCGUGUCUGUGUGUCCGUGUCUGUGUUUGUUUGUGUUUGUUUCUGUGUCUGUCUGUUUCUUUGUCUGUGUCCGUGUCUGUGUGUGUCUUACUGUGUCUGUGUCUAUGUUUGUGACUGUGCCCGUGUCUGUCUGUGUCUGUGUUUGUUUGUGUCUGUGUUUGUCUGUGUCUGUGUUUGUUUUUGUCUGUGUUUGUCUAUGUCUGUGUUUCUGUCUGUGCGUGUCUGUGUUUCUGUCUGUUCCCGUGUCUGUCCAUGUCUAUGUUUCUGUUUGUGUCUGCGCCUGUCUGUUUCUUUGUCUGUGUCCGUGUCUGUGUUUGUCUGUGUCUGUCUGUGUCUGUGUUUGUCUGUGUCUUUGUCUGUGUCUGUGUUUGUCUGUGUCUGUGUCUGUGUCUGUGUCUGUGUCUGUGUUUGUCUGUCUGUGUUUGUCUUUGUCUGUUUCUGUCUGUCUGUGUCUGUGUCUGUGUCUGUCUGUGUUCGUGUCUGCCUGUGUCUGUGUUUGUCUGUGUUUGUCUGUGUCUGUGUCUGUGUCCGUGUUUGUCUGUGUCUGUGUCCGUGUUUGUCUGUGUCUGUCUGUGUGUCUGUGUCUGUGUUUGUCUGUGUCUGUGUCUGUGUUUGUCUGUCUGUGUUUGUCUGUGUCCGUGUGUCUGUGUCUGUGUCUGUCUGUGUCCGUGUCUGUCUUUGUCUGUGUUUGUCUGUGUUUGUCUGUGUCUGCGUCUGUGUUUAUCUGUGUCUGUGUCUGUGUGUCCGUGUCUGUGUCUGUGUCUGUGUCUGUGUCUGUGUUUGUUUGUGUUUGUUUCUUUGUCCGUCUGUUUCUUUGUCUGUGUCCGUGUCUGUGUGUGUCUUACUGUGUCUGUGUCUGUGUCUAUGUUUCUGUCUGUGCCCGUGUCUGUGUCUGUCUGUGUCUGUUUGUUUUUGUCUGUGCUUGUCUGUGUCUGUGUUUUUGUCCGUGUCCAGCCUCACCAUGUUCCUCAGCCUGUUGCUGUAG